CACGUAGGGCGCAAGCGUUGUCCGGAAUUAUUGGGCGUAAAGAGCUCGUAGGCGGUCUGUUGCGUCCGCUGUGAAAACUCGGGGCUUAACCCCGAGCCUGCAGUGGAUACGGGCAGACUAGAGGUAGGUAGGGGAGAAUGGAGUUCCCGGUGUAGCGGUGAAAUGCGCAGAUAUCGGGAGGAACACCGGUGGCGAAGGCGGUUCUCUGGGCCUUACCUGACGCUGAGGAGCGAAAGCGUGGGGAGCGAACAGG
RNAcentral lists this ribosomal RNA (253 nucleotides) under uncultured bacterium. RNAcentral describes it as "partial 16S ribosomal RNA". It matches the Rfam family "Bacterial small subunit ribosomal RNA", at positions 524 to 776 of the family's 1533-position model. The record is from RNAcentral.